CCUACGGGUGGCAGCAGUAGGGAAUUUUCGGCAAUGGUGGGAACACUGACCGAGCAACGCCGCGUGAACGAAGAAGUUAUUCGUAAUGUAAAGUUCCUUUAACAGGGAAGAAAGAGAAAUUUGAUGGUACCUGAAGAAUAUGCUCCGGCUAACUACGUGCCAGCAGCCGCGGUAAUACGUAGGGAGCGAGCGUUAUCCGGAAUUAUUGGGCGAAAAGGGUGCGUAGAUGGCAUAGUAAGUCUUUGGUAAAAAUGCUGGGCUCAACCCAGUAGGGCAAAAGAUACUGGAAGGCUAGAGUAUGACAGAGGCAAGUGGAACGACAGGUGUAGCGGUAAAAUGCAUAAAUAUAUGUAAGAACACCAGUGGCGAAGGCGGCUUGCUGGGUCGAUACUGACAUUGAGGCACGAAAGCGUGGGGAGCGAACAGGAUUAGAUACCCCUGUAGUC
RNAcentral lists this ribosomal RNA (446 nucleotides) under uncultured bacterium. RNAcentral describes it as "partial 16S ribosomal RNA". It matches the Rfam family "Bacterial small subunit ribosomal RNA", at positions 338 to 795 of the family's 1533-position model. The record is from RNAcentral.